AUGACGUCAGUCAAUAUGCAGAAUUGUUCAACUUCUUUUAUCUUUGCAGAGCCACCUAGCGUAACUGAAAUGGAAGUUGGAAACCUUCAGUUGUUUGGAAGAAAUAAGCCCUGUAUAGACCAGGAAAUCAACUGAUGACUAGGAAAGGAUGGGAGAGACGAUAAGGUCUCAGUUCUCAUGUGGAGGAGUGGGAGACUGGAGAACUCCACAUCCAUUUGAAGUAAAAGAGCUGCAGAUUACCUUGAGAACUGGUG
Pan paniscus (pygmy chimpanzee) is the source of this 254-nucleotide long non-coding RNA. Lineage: Eukaryota; Metazoa; Chordata; Mammalia; Primates; Hominidae. The record is from Ensembl.